UAGAAACAUCACACAGAUCAACACGCAAUUGAAGGAAUAACAAACACAACACAACUCGACUCGACUUAACACACUGUUUUAAGACUGCUGCAUAACAUUACAUUCAUGAAAAUUCAACACAAUCUCUUCAGUGUGUGUAGUCGGUGUGGUUUCAUUUCAACUUCCUUUAUAGUGAGCCACACACACACACACACACACACACACACUCACACACACACACAGUGGUGUGAGAGUGACAGAUGCAGUGAAUUAUUGUGCUAAUGUUACUCAACUGUUUCUGGUCCUUUAAUAACACCAAUUACAUAAUUGCUGCAGUUGUAGAAUUUGACCCGAACAGAAUCACUCGUGACUCACAAUCACGACUUCAAAACACACACAGAGGCAGUUUAAUUGUAACAGACACAAUAACACUGUCAGACGAGGUCAAAGGUCAAAUGCUGUUUCACACACUCAUUCCCUCCAAAUCCAACAUUACAAGAAUGCUGUCCUUCAACAUCCCACAAACACACACAGUGAAAGUUACUUAAUAAAUGACUCACCUCUUAUUUUCACUGUAUUUAAAUGAAGUUAUCUAAAAUAUCUAUAAUAAACUGCUACAUUAAAUCACUGUUCAGUGUAUGAACUCAAUCUGAAGUGACUCUCUAACUGAACCAUCACAUGAAUCAAAUACUGGUCUAUCAUCCAUCAUCUGUCUAUCAACUGAGACUGACGGAUCGGAUCAGAUCAGAUCAGAUCAGUGACGACAGCAGAGGGCAGCAGCGAGCCGGACAUGAGAGAUGCGCGCGCGUGUUUCCCACAGUGGUCCUGGAGGCCUGCGUGAGGUCACAGGGAUCAAUUGCUGUGGUAAUUUAAGACCCUAAAGAGCAAUUAAUACCCCAACAAUGAAGCCAGCACCAGUGUGUGUGUGAGGGGCUAAAGGAGACAGUCUGCCGGGCUGCAUUUAAUCUCAUCAUCAGGGACCUUCAGUUUACCUCACACGCACACGCACAAGCGGUAAAGUCACGCGUCUGUUCUCGUUCCCGCGGAGCCGUUGCCAUAGUAACUUGAUAGUAAUCAUCAGUAAUGGGGUUCGGGUCAGUUUUGGGGUUUCGUCGCCGGUCUAGUUUCUGAGGAGAGAAGCGGUUACCGCGCAACAAUACUCUCUUUAUGAGCCGACGCUCCGACAGGCGCUUAAUGCAGCUGAACGAUUAAAGAGUAACUUACCCAACACUGGACAACAAGUUAUUUAAUCAUUUAAAAAGCACAGUUUUUUCAAUUUUCUGAAGAAAGAAAAUCAGCGAGUUUGCAGAUCUGAAGUUUUAAAAGGACAGCGAUAUAAGGUGCACAUCACAAUGGUUUGAAUAAAGUUGUCAGAUUAGUUUUAAUGAA
Long non-coding RNA from Triplophysa dalaica, 1368 nucleotides. RefSeq lists it as uncharacterized. The transcript is spliced from 2 exons. The record is from RefSeq and is a predicted model, not a curated record. NCBI's taxonomy places the organism in Eukaryota, Metazoa, Chordata, Actinopteri, Cypriniformes, Nemacheilidae.